RNAcentral lists this ribosomal RNA (468 nucleotides) under uncultured bacterium. RNAcentral's name for it is "partial 16S ribosomal RNA". It matches the Rfam family "Bacterial small subunit ribosomal RNA", at positions 28 to 507 of the family's 1533-position model. The record is from RNAcentral.
GACGAACGCUGGCGGCGUGCUUAACACAUGCAAGUCGAACGGCAAGGCCCUGCUUUUGUGGGGUGCUCGAGUGGCGAACGGGUGAGUAACACGUGAGUAACCUGCCCUUGAUUUUGGGAUAACUUCAGGAAACUGGGGUUAAUACCGGAUAGGAGCUCCUGCUGCAUGGUGGGGGUUGGAAAGUUUAGGCGGUUGGGGAUGGACUCGCGGCUUAUCAGCUUGUUGGUGGGGUAGUGGCUUACCAAGGCCUUGACGGGUAGCCGGCCUGAGAGGGGGGCCGGGGACAAGACUACUACGGUACGGAGCAGUCGGGUACGGUGGGCAACAGGCGGGAGUAUGACACAGCGAUCCCAAGCGUGUUGAGAAGGCGCUGGGGUUGUAAAGCCGGUUUGUGGGGUGUGAACCGCUUUCGCCUGUGACGAAGCGGGAGUGACGGUAAUGGAUGAAUAAGCACCGGCUAACUACGUG